GAAAUGCGAUAAGUAGUGUGAAUUGCAGAAUUCAGUGAAUCAUCGAAUCUUUGAACGCACAUUGCGCCCUAUGGUAUUCCGUAGGGCAUGCCUGUUCGAGCGUCAGUUACACCUUCAAGCCUUGCUUGGUGUUGGGUGACUGUGGCCCCUUUGGGGCCACUCGCCUUAAAGUCAUUGGCGGCCGGUUCGUUGGCUUUGUAGCGCAGCACAAUUGCGUCCUCGAAGCCGCUGGACCAGCUCCCAGAAGCUAAUUUUAAAUGUUUGACCUCGAAUCAGGUAGGGAUACCCGCUGAACUUAAGC
This 301-nucleotide unclassified non-coding RNA is filed under the name plant metagenome. Its description in RNAcentral is "partial contains 5.8S ribosomal RNA, internal transcribed spacer 2, and large subunit ribosomal RNA". The stretch from base 1 to 105 matches the Rfam family "5.8S ribosomal RNA", at positions 50 to 154 of the family's 154-position model. The record is from RNAcentral.